CGGGAGGCAGCAGUAGGGAAUCUUCCGCAAUGGGCGAAAGCCUGACGGAGCAACGCCGCGUGAGUGAUGAAGGUCUUCGGAUCGUAAAACUCUGUUAUCAGGGAAGAACAAAUGUGUAAGUAACUGUGCACAUCUUGACGGUACCUGAUCAGAAAGCCACGGCUAACUACGUGCCAGCAGCCGCGGUAAUACGUAGGUGGCAAGCGUUAUCCGGAAUUAUUGGGCGUAAAGCGCGCGUAGGCGGUUUUUUAAGUCUGAUGUGAAAGCCCACGGCUCAACCGUGGAGGGUCAUUGGAAACUGGAAAACUUGAGUGCAGAAGAGGAAAGUGGAAUUCCAUGUGUAGCGGUGAAAUGCGCAGAGAUAUGGAGGAACACCAGUGGCGAAGGCGACUUUCUGGUCUGUAACUGACGCUGAUGUGCGAAAGCGUGGGGAUCAAACAGGAUUAGAUACCCUGGUAGUCCACGCCGUAAACGAUGAGUGCUAAGUGUUAGGGGGUUUCCGCCCCUUAGUGCUGCAGCUAACGCAUUAAGCACUCCGCCUGGGGAG
Molecule: ribosomal RNA, 547 nt
Filed under: Staphylococcus pasteuri
Lineage: Bacteria; Bacillati; Bacillota; Bacilli; Caryophanales; Staphylococcaceae
Description: bacterial SSU rRNA
Rfam family: Bacterial small subunit ribosomal RNA
Source: RNAcentral